This 562-nucleotide long non-coding RNA is filed under the name Homo sapiens (human). Its description in RNAcentral is "non-protein coding lnc-TPT1-2:2". The record is from RNAcentral. Lineage: Eukaryota; Metazoa; Chordata; Mammalia; Primates; Hominidae.
ACCCGGGAGGUGGAGGUUGCAGUGAGCUGAGAUCGCGCCACUGCACUCCAGCCUGGGCGACAGAGUGAGACUCUGUCUCAAAAUAAUAACAAUAAUCAUAAUAAGGCCGGGCGCGGUGGCUCACACCUGUAAUCCCAGCACUUAGGGAGGCCGAGGCUGGUGGAACACUUGAGGUCGGGAGUUCAAAACCAGCCAGGCCAACAAGGCGAAACCCUGUCUCUACUAAAAAUACAAAAAAAGUAGCCAGCCAUGGUGGUGUGUGCCUGUAAUCUCAGCUAUUCAGGAGGCUGAGGUGAGAGAAUCCUUUGAACCCGGGAGGCGGAGGUUGCAGUGAGCCGAGAUCGUGCUACUGCACUCAAGCCUGGGCGACAGAGCAGGACUCCGUCUCAAAAUUAAUAAGUGCCCAGCCUUAAAAACAGUGGCUCACGCCUGUAAUCCCAGAACUCUGGGAGGCCGAGGCAGGAGGAUUGCUUUAGCCCAGGAGUUUGAGACCAGCCCAGACAAUAUACUAAGACCAUGUCUCUAUUUAAAAAAAAAAAAAAUGGCCAGGAGAGGUGGCUUA